UGAGGAAUAUUGGUCAAUGGGCGAGAGCCUGAACCAGCCAAGUCGCGUGCAGGAAGACAGUCCUAAGGAUUGUAAACUUCUUUUAUACUGGAAUAACGGGCGAUACGAGUAUUGCAUUGAAUGUACCGUAAGAAUAAGCAUCGGCUAACUCCGUGCCAGCAGCCGCGGUAAUACGGAGGAUGCGAGCGUUAUCCGGCUUUAUUGGGUUUAAAGGGUGCGUAGGUUGUUCGGUAAGUCAGCGGUGAAACCUGAGCGCUCAACGUUCAGCCUGCCGUUGAAACUGCCGGGCUUGGGUUCAGUGGCAGCAGGCGGAAUUCGUGGUGUAGCGGUGAAAUGCAUAGAUAUCACGAGGAACUCCGAUUGCGAAGGCAGCUUGCCAUACUGCGACUGACACUGAAGCACGAAGGCGUGGGUAUCAAACAGG
RNAcentral lists this ribosomal RNA (424 nucleotides) under Fusobacteriota bacterium. RNAcentral's name for it is "Fusobacteria bacterium partial 16S ribosomal RNA". It matches the Rfam family "Bacterial small subunit ribosomal RNA", at positions 355 to 776 of the family's 1533-position model. Lineage: Bacteria; Fusobacteriati; Fusobacteriota. The record is from RNAcentral.